AGUGAACGCUGGAGGCGUGCCUAAUACAUGCAAGUCGAACGAAGUGGCUCACGGGUGUGUAAUAUAUAGUUAAUCUGCCCUACACAGUGGAACAACAGUUGGAAACGACUGCUGAUACACCCUAGUGUAGGAUGAGACUAUAUCGUAUCAGCUAGUUGGUAAGGUAAUGGCUUACCAAGGCUAUGACGCGUAACUGGUCUGAGAGGAUGAUCAGUCACAUUGGAACUGAGACACCGUCCAAACUCCUACGGGAGGCAGCAGUAAGGAAUAAUGCGUAAAGGGGGAAACCCUGACGCAGCAGCGCCGCGUGGCGGAUGACACGUGUCGGAGCGUAAACUCCUCCUAUCAGGAAAGCGUUAUCCUCAGAAUAAGCACCGGCUUAGUUCGUGACAGUCGUCGCGGUAAUAC
This 408-nucleotide ribosomal RNA is filed under the name uncultured bacterium. Its description in RNAcentral is "partial 16S ribosomal RNA". It matches the Rfam family "Bacterial small subunit ribosomal RNA", at positions 29 to 526 of the family's 1533-position model. The record is from RNAcentral.